RNA transcript from Columba livia (rock pigeon), 2459 nucleotides. It is a transcript of the gene named CD320 molecule, with no coding region annotated. The transcript is spliced from 5 exons. Lineage: Eukaryota; Metazoa; Chordata; Aves; Columbiformes; Columbidae. The record is from RefSeq and is a predicted model, not a curated record.
UCUACCCGUGCGCAUGCGCCCUACCAGAGCGCGGCCAGCGGUGUAGGGUCGCGGCGGCGUGUCCUGCCGGUGGAGCCCGUGGCAUGGCGCGGCUCCCUGUGCUGCCGCUCCUCUUCCCGGUGCUGCCACUGCUCCUCCCGGUGCUGCCGCUCCCGGCGCCUCCGUCAGAGAACGGGACCCUGCCCGGCUGCCCCCCGCACCAGUUCCAGUGCGAGCCCGGCACCGUCUGCCUCCCCCGGGAGUGGCUCUGCGAUGGACACCCCGACUGCAUGGACGAGGGGGACGAGCGGGGCUGCGGGACGGCGACCCCGGCGGAGCCGAGUCCUGACGGCGUCCGGGUGACCCCGCGGCGGGUCUCGGCGGUGCCGCCCGCCGGCAGCGCAGAGGCUUCAGCCACGCCUGUGUCUGGGUGUUCCGUGCCAUCGAGGAGUCAAAGCCACACAUGGACCUUGAUUAUUGCAAGGAAGCUGCUGCUCUCCAGCUGUUGGCUGAAACUGUUGGGCAGCAGAGCCCAGUGCUGAUGUCGGGACCGGGCGCAGUGAGCGGAUCUCUAUUUGUGCACUCUCCUCUCCUCUCUAGUGCUCCUGAGCAUCCUGGUUGCUCUGGGUUCUGUCGCUGUCUGGGGCCUGUCCAAAGCAAAAAGCAGAUCUGACAUCUUCAGUCCUGAAAAAGCAUCCAGGGAACAGCUGGUGCCUGACAAGAACCCGACAGGCUCAUUUCCCUCAAGGGGAUCUUUACUGUGAGGUGAUGAGAUGGGACUAGCCUGCUCUCUCCUUCCUGCUCACCGCAGAGACUGACUGAAUUGGACAUAAACUCGCAAAUCUGCGUUGUUACACUGGAAAAACAAGAGGAUGCUCCCCAUGGAAAUGAGUCUUAGAUUGUGGGACAACUUUGGCACUGGAAAUAAUGCAGGACCUUCCCUGGUGCUGUGAAAUCACCAUCACAGAGGUGGUAGAAAUUCCUUCAUGGUUCUUGCCUCCAGCGGUUGUUAAUACUGAUUCUCACCAGUGCAGCCUUGGACCCAAAUAUUUUAUUCUCCAUGACAUGACCGGCACUAGGUGCUAUUCAGCUGUUUUCUUCCACUUCCAGCCAAGAGACGUUUUUCACCUGCCCCAUUCUUCCCUCUGGGUUUUGUCGGGCAACAGAGGCUUUUCAUCCAUUCCAGCAGGAGCUCACUGACCCCGCACAGAUCAGAUGUGUAGUCCAUGUUUGCGCUGUUGUUUUGAUGCUGUUCGUUCCGGUGUACAGGCAGCUUUUUACUGACAGGUCAGCACAGGUGUGAAAGUUGAAAAUCUCUCUCUCUGCUCUGGCUUUUGCUGCGCUGCCACCCCCGUCAGCACAGGGCGAGCAGCUCCUGGGCUCACUCCCUGCCAGUGUGUUGCUUCUCUAACACUCUUAAAGGUUUCUUCCUUAAAACUAUUCUGACAUGAGUGGUGUACUUCAAGGAUCCAUACUGGGACCAACGCUAUUUAAUAUCCUCGCCAGUGGUGUGUAUAGUGGGGUCGAGCGCACCCUCAGCAAGUUUAUGGGUGACACCGAGCUGAGCAGUGCAGUCGAUUCACUGAGGGAGGGGACACCCCCCCAUCCAGAGGGACCUUCAGUGCGCCCGUGUGAACAUCAUGAAGUUCAGUAAGGUCAAGUGCAAGGUCCUGCACCAUCACUGGAGAAGAGAAAGCUCUAGGGAGACCUUGUUGUGUCUUUUCUAUAUAUAAAGGGGCUUGUAAGAAGAAUAGAGGGUUUUACCAAAGCCUGCAGUGACAGGACAAGGGGCAAUGGUUAUACACUGAAAGAGCGGAGAUUUCACUUGCACAUAAGGAAGAAAUGUUCAGUGAGGGUGGUGAGCAAGCUGGUUUAGUGGAAGGUGUCCCUGCCCAUGGCAGGGGGUUGGACUAGGUCAUCUUUAAGGUCCUCUCCAACCCAGUCUGUACUAAUAUGAGACUUUGAACAUUUGUCCUUUUUUUUUUCAGCUUGAAAUAAGUCGUGUCUUGAAUCAAACACUGCAUGUCAUGGCACGUGUAGCUCUUUCUGCACAGCUCAGUGCUGUUUGCUUUCAGAAGAACUGACAGCGGAGGGAGGAGAUUCCUGACCAGUGCCUCUAGUUCAGUGCUGACCACGUGUUCUGUGCACAAGCAUUCACUGGGUGCGCAAAGGACUGAAAGCAGCUGCCUCGGCGCUGAUCUCUGUGCCUUAGAGGUGAGAACUCGCCUUGCCAAGCAGACACCGGUCAGCAGCCUCAGGGCAGGAGUCUUCCCCUCCUAGGGGGUGUGCAAGUGUGCUGCUGCACCCGUGGGGAGAAACUUCUCUUGUGGUCUGGAGUGUUAGUUAUUCCAGUGCUGCUGGUUUUAGUACCAAGGGUCCUUUGCAAGGGUGUGCAGAACCUUCCUUCUGUUUCCAUAGGGACAAGUAGAGAUGCAAUAGUUGUUGGUGAAUGGCACAGGAGAAUAAAGAACUUGAAACUA